AGGUGAAAAUGAAGAAUUUACGCCGGGAAGUGCGUUUAUAUAAAGAAUCUGUUGGACGAAGUAAUUCGCGCAAGCCAUCUGAAGUUGCCACAGCUUGUGAAAAACUUCUGCCUGAUAUUGAAGACAUUUUCAACAAGAAGAGUGUCAGUACAUGGAGUGGUCUUCUGAGGCCUCCCAGACCCCUUCUUCCUAAUGGGUGUGGUGUCAUGGGGCAGGGUGCAUCUCAGCCUUUCUUCAGUAUCCUUCACAGGGACUCCUUUGUCUAGGAGAAAGAUGAUAUAAACUUUUUCCAAGCAAAUCAUCUCCUAACCCAUUAUUAUCAACAGUAACUGCUGUAAAUGGCAACAAAUGUAGACAAUUGUGCAUAGAAAAAUAGGUGAAUGGCAAGUGUGACAACUCCUCCCUCUUACAUGAUCUGAAGAAGAAAUAAGACGAGAGUGGUACCAGAUGCGGGCAGAAGAAAGACUAAGAGCAGAAGGACGGUUGGUAGAUGGUGAACCAGCACCUGCAGAUAUACUGGCUCAGGUUGCAGUUUUGGCAGACUCUGACUUGUGUGAU
Non-coding RNA from Cherax quadricarinatus, 558 nucleotides. Lineage: Eukaryota; Metazoa; Arthropoda; Malacostraca; Decapoda; Parastacidae. The record is from RefSeq and is a predicted model, not a curated record.